UUCUCAAGUUUCAACUGCUUUUCGUCUUUUAAAAUACAUUUCAAGAAUUCUACAAACAUUUUGGGCUUUUUGAAGUCGUCGGUGAUCUUAUUCUACGGAUUAUUUUAUGAUAUUUUGUUGUCUUAUUAAAAUUGUUUAAUCUGAAGAUUUAUUUUUUAAAAAAGAUAAAUAAAAGCUUUAAUUUUAUUAAAAAUGAGUGAACUUAAUAAGAUAUAUACUAUAAUCACAUUAUAAGGUUGACGUAAAUGGAAAAUUCUGUUGAUAUUUAUGCCAAGUGAUAUUUGGGAUUGGCACAACAAUUGAUACUACUAUCAAUAGAGGCGUAAUUAUUAUUAUUGUUGCUAAUUUUAUUUUUUAUUCUUUUAAUUUAAUGCCUACUGGUAAUAUUGCAGUAAGUUAAAUAAAAGUUUUCGUUUUUGUCAGUUUUACUUCACAAUAUAUUCGGAUAUUAUUAGUAAGAAAGGAAAAUUAAGCAAUUUUCGAUGCUUUCUGAAAUUUCAUUUAUGUACAACUAAUUCUGAAGCCGGUUUACUUUAAAUCUCUACACGGAAAAAUAGUUUAUAUACAUGUUUCAGAUGAAAGUAAUACAGUACUAUAUAUUCUUUGGUAGGGCAGACAUCGAGUCUAUGAAGCAGCGACGUUUUAAAAAAGACGAAAUUGGAUCCAGCUAUUCAUAAGGAAAAAAAAACAACAAGAAAAAGUUUGUAGAAGACAAAAUUAUAUUUGUUUCGUCAUAGCUCAAUUAGUCAUACAGAUAAAGGAAUAAUUUUUUUAUAUUAUAUUUUAACUUGAAAAUCAUUUUUCCAAUUAUUUUAAAUCAUUUAUUUUUAAAAAAAGGACAUUAAAUUUAUUUAGAAUAAAUAUCAUAAAAAAUGAAAGCUAAAAAUCAAAUAAACGUUUACUGUAUUCUGAUACUGUCAGGA
Centruroides sculpturatus (bark scorpion) is the source of this 923-nucleotide long non-coding RNA. RefSeq lists it as uncharacterized. The transcript is spliced from 3 exons. Lineage: Eukaryota; Metazoa; Arthropoda; Arachnida; Scorpiones; Buthidae. The record is from RefSeq and is a predicted model, not a curated record.